GUGUUAAUUCGUAAGAAUAACGAAAAAAAGAUGAACUAGGAAAAAUUAACGAGAGUUUGAUCCUGGCUCAGAAUCAACGCUGGCGGCGUGCCUCAGACAUGCAAGUCGAACGAUUAAAGCUCUCUUCGGAGAGUGUAUAGAGUGGCGCACGGGUGAGUAACACGUAAGUAAUCUACCCUCGAGUGGGGAAUAACAACCGGAAACGGUUGCUAAUACCGCAUAAUGCAGCGGCACCGCAAGGUGACAGUUGUUAAAGAUUUAUCGCUUGAGGAGGAGCUUGCGGCAGAUUAGCUAGUUGGUAGGGUAACGGCUUACCAAGGCUACGAUCUGUAACCGGUCUAAGAGGACGGUCGGUCACACUGACACUGAAUAACGGGUCAGACUCCUACGGGAGGCAGCAGUCGGGAAUUUUGGGCAAUGGGCGAAAGCCUGACCCAGCAACGCCGCGUGAAGGAUGAAGUAUUUCGGUAUGUAAACUUCGAAAGAAUAGGAAGAAUUAAUGACGGUACUAUUUAUAAGGUCCGGCUAACUACGUGCCAGCAGCCG
This 546-nucleotide ribosomal RNA is filed under the name uncultured bacterium. RNAcentral describes it as "bacterial SSU rRNA". It matches the Rfam family "Bacterial small subunit ribosomal RNA", at positions 1 to 517 of the family's 1533-position model. The record is from RNAcentral.